This is a long non-coding RNA of Mya arenaria, 4526 nucleotides long. RefSeq lists it as uncharacterized. The transcript is spliced from 4 exons. The record is from RefSeq and is a predicted model, not a curated record. Lineage: Eukaryota; Metazoa; Mollusca; Bivalvia; Myida; Myidae.
GGUGCAGAAACCUUUAAACGAGCAAGGAGACCAUACCGACCUAUGUCAGCUUGUUUCUUAGACCUAGUCCUAGGUGAUAGUACAUUUGAAUAACAUAAGAUUUUUGGCAGGCUACGCGAGAUAGGGACAUGGAAAAGACUCCCAAUGUAUAAUUGUCUAAUAUUCAUUACAUGUUAUGGUGUGGAAACCUUAAAACGAGCAUCGGGACCAUAUCGACCUUUGUCAUCAUGCAGCCGAGACCUAGUACUAGGUAAUAGUACAUAUGAAUAACCUAGGAUUUUAAGCAUGCUAUGCGAGAUAGGGACAUGGAAAAGGCUCCCAAUGCAUGUUUGAUUCAUAUUAUAUACAUGUUUUGGUGCGGAAACCUGAUAACGAGCAAGGUGACCAAAGCGACCUAUGUCACCAUGUAGGACAGACCUAGUACUAGAUGAUAGUACAUAUGAAUUAUCUAGGAUUUUAGGCAGGCUAUGCGAGAUAGGGACAUGGAUAAUGCUCUCAAGGUCCAUUGUCCUAAUAUUCAUUACAUGUUAUUGUGCAAAAACCUUCAAACGAGCAAGGGGACCAUACCACCCUAUGUCAGCGUGUAGCUUAGACCAAGACCUAGGUGAUAGUACAUAUUAAUUACCUAGGAUUUUAGGUAGACUAUGGGUGAUAGGGACAACAUGGAAAAGGCUCCCAAUGCCUAUUUUCCUCAUAUUCAUUACAUGUUAUAGUGCAAAAACCUUAAGACGAGCAAAGGGACCAUAGCGACCUAUGGCAGGUCGUUGCUUAAACCUUAUCCUAGGUGAUAGUACAUAUGAAUUACAUAGGAUUUAAGGCAGAUUGUGCGAGAAAGUGAUAUGGAAAAGGCCCCAAAUGGCUAUUUUUAACUCAUAUUCAUUAAAUAGUACGGUGCAGAAACCUUAAAACGAGCAAGAUGACAAUAGUGACCUAUGUCAGCUCGUGGAUUAAACCUAGUCCUAUGUGAUAGUAUAUAUGUAUUACCAGGAUUUUAGGCAGGCUAUGCGAGAAAGGGACAUGGAAAAGGCUCCAAAUCCCUAUUUGCCUCAUAUUAUUACAUCCCAGCAAGCAAGGCUAAAUGGGUCCCAUAUGGGCUGAAUCUGGGCAAAAAGCCCAUAUGGGGCCCAUAUAGGACCCAUAUGGUUGAGAAUGCCCAGAUGGGACCCAGAUGGGACCCAUAUAGCUGUUCAUCUAUAUUGAUUGGAUAUACAAAGGGAAACGAAGAUCAUUGUUAUAUGAAAAUAUGUAAACAUCGAUACUAUGUGAAAAAAGUUCAUUAUUUCAUGAAUCGGAUUCACAUCUUUUGACAUGAUAUGCCCCAGAUAGGUCCCAUAUGGGUCCCAUAUACUCGGCAUUAUCAUUAUAGUAGGGCAGUGUUAGAUGGUAAGGCACGAUGUUGUGGCGAUGAUACAUAAAUACACAAGGAAAAAAUAUUUUUCCGUAUUUUCAUUUUUUUAUUACUUCUUAAAUAUAAACCUUUUGCAAUUGUGUUUUUAGUAGCAAUUUAGUCACGAAUAAAAAAAAAUAUGCAGAAAAAAUUGUCACGUGACAUUUUAUAGACGCGCGGAUGAUGAACGUGAUUGAGUGAAAAAAUAAUGGUUAAAUUCAUCUUUUAAGAACAGGUAAGGGUUCUUAUUUAACUUUUAAAGCAACUUGUAUUUAUAUUUAUAGUAAUUUGAUUUUAAACAAGUGAAUUACUGAUGAAUUUCUUGUAGAAGUAUUGUUUGUGCUACGAUUUUGUAUUUUGUCAUAUAAUUUCGCGAUAAUAUAUAAAUUAUAAAGUAAAGGCAUUCGGGAUGGCAGAUGCCAAAAACAAAACAAAACUAAAUAAAAACAACGGCAAAUUAAUGGUUCAUGCAGGUGUGGGGAACCUAUUUACAUAUAGACCUCCAAAGAGAUUUUAACAUUCUUUUCUCUUGAAUGGAUUCUGACAAUCAUUAAUCUUUUAUCCAAUUUAAAAGUGCACCAAGGAUCGAGGCUGUACGAGGAUAUGAGCCAGGGUGCCACUGAUGCUAAUGGUGAUGAUGAGGAUGAUGGCCUUGUUACAGUCAAGACCAUUACCCCCCAACAUUCCAGCUACCUGUUCAUUAUUCGAUGCUCGGCAGAGCAGAAUCCAAAAAGAUCAGGACACCUGGAUCUUUGUGAUUUUGGAAAACCAGCAGGAGCAAUUGCGAUAACAUACGCAGCUCCUGCGUCUCAUCCUGGCGAGAGAUUCAGCACAAGAUGCAGGUCCGAGUGAGUUGCCAGAGGAGAUAUCUUUCCCCCUCAAAACUGUGGUGGAUUUGGCAGCCUUCAAAGAGCGAAAGUCACAAGCGAAUGCUGCAACAUCCAUUGUAAAAAACUUGGCAGAAUAUGGUGGGAGUGACACAGUGGACACGUUUUCCCCGGAUAAUGAAGACGGUGUUGACAACAAAUCUGGCCCGCCAAUACAACCUAAAGGAAACCAAACAAAAAAAGAAACUGGACAGACUCCACUUGAUAAACAUCUUUUUCAGAUGUCAAUAAUUGAACCCAGCAACACACUUUAGAACCGCAAGGAAAUGGAGGGGGCCAUAUAGAAGUGGCUUUCCGAGUCGCGGAGUCGUGAGGUUGGCCGCAAAGACCGAGCAAGAGUCACCCCGAUGCUUCCUUCAGUAGAAUGUUGACUUAUUUACUUACCAUAAAAUUUACGAUUCCACGAACCACGAACAUACGGAUUUACAACUCAGAAUUAAACCAGCAAAACUUGUCAGACUAUUUUUCAAAUUGAUAGUAUACAAUAAGUAUGCUUCUAUUGUUUUAUCAUAAACACAUCAAUGUCGUGUGACAUGUUAUGUAGUUUGUAUGCAAAAUGUAUCACAAUAAUGUAAUAAUGAGAUAUCUCCAACUUUUCCCCUAAAUUUUCAUAUCAUUAAGGGCUUCAAGAAGAGCAUUUCUUAUCUAUAUUUAUAGGCAAAUCCAUGUUGCUUUUACUUUUUUGUAUAAACAUAAGACAAACUGUCCAUGACUAAUAAGAGACCCAUCAACAAGACAAAUAUAUUUAGUUCACAUUUGGAUGAUUGUUCUAAAGAAGACUCUUAAUAAGCGAAACCUGUUGACAUUGAAUAAUUAUCAUAAUAUCUCGGAAUGAUGUCAGUUUUUGUUUUACUAUAAUAUUUUCUUAUCCUGGGUACACCAUUUUAAACUUUGAUACACUCAAAAUAAACUUAUUUUAAGAUGAAGUAAGAAAUUUGGCUGAAUGAAAUAAGCUACUUAAGGGUGUUACGCUUAAGAACUUUCGAGAAAUUGGGGCCAGAUGACUUUAAUUAUAUCAACCCCAUUUAUUUCCCUGGCGAUAACAGUGAUCCCAGAUUUGUAUAUGGUAGAUACAUAUUUAACCUAUGGAUUGAGCGUGUAUAUAUUAAUAAAUUCUUCUUGAUAUACAACAAUGAAUCAGGUCUAAAUGAUAUAAUUUUAUUAUGUAAAUAUUUGUUAUACAAAUGUAACUUAUAUGCUGUUGCUCUACUUUUGUUUCAUAUGUAUUUUGUAAUGUAACUCAACAUACAUGGAGGAAAUAAGGAUAUAUAUAUGUUUUAACAUUCAGUCAUGUCAGUUCACUAGUCAGUAUUACAAGGUGCAUUAAUUGUGUUAGUCAAUAGCUCUGGUUUGUGUUUAAUUUUUUCUCCUUUUAAAUUCUUUUUUAUUUUACAUGUAUGAUUUUUGUGAUUGAAUCCAAUGUACCAAUGAACUUGAAACUGUUAUUUCAUUUCUGGUUUGAAACGCUGCUUUAUGUCUAAGCAAUAUUGUUAUACUUGAAUGUGUAGAUGCACUCCAUGCUCUGUUUAUUAGAAUUGUGCGUCUUUCGAUUAGUGUAUUUUUUUUUAAACACAUUCGUUAAAGCAUUCGGAGCUCCGCGGCCAUUUUUAUCGAAAACAACCUUUGAUGUAUGCCGGUACAUCAGUUAAAUUUCUUAAUUAUAUCAUUAAUUAAAUGUAGGGUUUUAGAAUUGUUUUUAUUGAUCUAAGAUUAAAUUGAUUGCCAGUGAAGUGUAAUAUUGCAAACAUAAUUAAGAUUCCCAAGAGUUAAGUCAUAAAGUUUAACUGCUAAAAAAAUUACUACGCGAUCUACUUGCAGCGGACUUAAACGUACCGCUUUUUGAGUAUGUAAACCGUCCAAAUACAUCAGAGGUUGUUUUUGAUAAAAUGGCCGAGGAGCUCCGAAUGUCGUUAAAGUCUUUAAAAAGUGUGUGUUUUUUACAUGUAAUUUUUGACACACUUUUUCAGUUUGACAGCUUUAACUGACAGAUACAAUCAAUAAAACAGUUUUCACUUAUUAUUAAGUUAUUAAUCAAAUUAUAAAUGUACUAGAUAGUUUUAGCUUGGUAUUGUCAAACCAAACUGAAAAAAAUGUGUCAUAAUUUCAGUGACAUUUUUCUUGUGUGCCACUUUUAUAUUGCCAGUAUUACGCAAAAUCUUAACAUUGUCAGUAUGUAAUUUUUGUUGUCUUUUUUAGUGUACAUCUUGUUUUACAUUUCUAAUGUUUUCAUGUUAAUAAACUUAAUAAGAUUA